This 254-nucleotide ribosomal RNA is filed under the name uncultured bacterium. RNAcentral's name for it is "partial 16S ribosomal RNA". It matches the Rfam family "Bacterial small subunit ribosomal RNA", at positions 524 to 776 of the family's 1533-position model. The record is from RNAcentral.
UACAGAGGUCUCAAAGCGUUGUUCGGAUUCAUUGGGCGUAAAGGGUGUGUAGGUGGCGCGCUAAGUCGGGUGUGAAAUUUCGGAGCUUAACUCCGAAACUGCAUUCGAUACUGGCGUGCUUGAGGACUGGAGAGGAGACUGGAAUUCAUGGUGUAGCGGUGAAAUGCGCAGAUAUCAGGAGGAACACCGAUGGCGAAGGCAGGUCUCUGGGCAGUAACUGACGCUGAGGAGCGAAAGCGUGGGGAGCGAACAGG